RNAcentral lists this transfer RNA (74 nucleotides) under Caulacanthus okamurae. Its description in RNAcentral is "tRNA-Val". It matches the Rfam family "tRNA". From Rfam's summary of the family: Transfer RNA (tRNA) molecules are approximately 80 nucleotides in length. Their secondary structure includes four short double-helical elements and three loops (D, anti-codon, and T loops). Further hydrogen bonds mediate the characteristic L-shaped molecular structure. tRNAs have two regions of fundamental functional importance: the anti-codon, which is responsible for specific mRNA codon recognition, and the 3' end, to which the tRNAs corresponding amino acid is attached (by aminoacyl-tRNA synthetases). tRNAs cope with the degeneracy of the genetic code in two manners: having more than one tRNA (with a specific anti-codon) for a particular amino acid; and 'wobble' base-pairing, i.e. permitting non-standard base-pairing at the 3rd anti-codon position. Lineage: Eukaryota; Rhodophyta; Florideophyceae; Gigartinales; Caulacanthaceae. The record is from RNAcentral.
GGGUAAUUAACUCAAUUGGGUAGAGUAUUUCAUUUACAUUGAAAAAGUUAUUGGUUCAAGCCCAGUAUUACCUA